This 400-nucleotide ribosomal RNA is filed under the name uncultured bacterium. RNAcentral describes it as "bacterial SSU rRNA". It matches the Rfam family "Bacterial small subunit ribosomal RNA", at positions 90 to 525 of the family's 1533-position model. The record is from RNAcentral.
GGGGAGCGGCAGACGGGUGAGUAACGCGUGGGAAUCUACCCAUCCCUACGGAACAACUCCGGGAAACUGGAGCUAAUACCGUAUACGCCCCUCGGGGGAAAGAUUUAUCGGGGAUGGAUGAGCCCGCGUUGGAUUAGCUAGUUGGUGGGGUAAAGGCCUACCAAGGCGACGAUCCAUAGCAGGUCUGAGAGGAUGAUCAGCCACAUUGGGACUGAGACACGGCCCAAACUCCUACGGGAGGCAGCAGUGGGGAAUAUUGGACAAUGGGCGCAAGCCUGAUCCAGCCAUGCCGCGUGAGUGAUGAAGGUCUUAGGAUUGUAAAGCUCUUUCACCGGAGAAGAUAAUGACGGUAUCCGGAGAAGAAGCCCCGGCUAACUUCGUGCCAGCAGCCGCGGUAAUA